This 1074-nucleotide ribosomal RNA is filed under the name Triticum aestivum (bread wheat). RNAcentral's name for it is "partial small subunit ribosomal RNA". The record is from RNAcentral. Lineage: Eukaryota; Viridiplantae; Streptophyta; Magnoliopsida; Poales; Poaceae.
AUGCAGAGUAAUACCCUAGUGCUUCCAGCUAAGCAGCUUCUCAAUAAUAGACAUUUAAAUGAAACACGCUGUUUCUUUUAUUUUAAGGCUAAAUACCUUAAGAAAACUUCGGUGGCUAUGGUGAAACACAAAGCCAGUGACUCGCCUUGCUGGAAGUCACUUUUGAAAGUGAAAGACCUAUAUAUGAUGGGAAGGGGUAUUAAUCUAAAUAGAGGAGAUGUGGCUAGACUCUGGCAGGAUAGCCUGGAGGGUAAAAUGCCUUUUAAAGACAGAUUCCCACUGCUCUUUGAGACCUGUAAUGAGCAAAAUUGUAAUGUUGACCAGUUUAAAAACCUGGAUCAGAUCACCUCUUUUAGGAGGAGGAUGUCCCCUGAGAUGCUGCAACAAUGGGGAGAUAUGAAUAAUGAGGUGUUAAACCUUAAACUUAGUGAUGGGGCAGAUGAGGUUUAUUGGAAAUGGGAUAGUUCGGGCAAUUAUACAACUAAAUCCAUGUAUGCUUGGCUGGAGAAAGAUAUUGCAGGAUCUAAUUUUAAAUGGAUUUGGGAUGCAAAGCUACCUCUUAAAAUCCAAAUUUUCUUAUGGCAGAUGGCGCAGAAUGCCAUCCUGACCAGGGACAAUAUGAAAAAAAGACUAUGGCCGGGGGAUCCUUGCUGUUCGUUUUGUAAUCAAUUAGAAACAGCCCAACACUUGUUCUUUUUAUGCCCUGUGUCCAGGGUGGUGUGGAGAAACGUGGGUUCCUUACUUGGAACUGAUUGCUGUCCUAACUCUGUUUGGCAAUACUAUACGUGGAUGUACAGUUUCCUACCUGGGAUGGACAAAAUUUACACUGUUUGCUUGGCUGCUAUAUGCUGGGCUAUUUGGUUGGCCAGGAACCGAGCCACUUUUGAACACAAAUGGAUUAACUCCCCGUUUGAGAUUGUGUUCACAGCUUGUUCUUUUUUGAUAAACUGGGCAGGCCUCCAGAAAGCAGAGAUGGUGAAAAAAGGAGCAGAGAUGCUGAAGGAGAACACUACGCAGAUGAUGCUGCUUUGCGGUCCACCAGUUCCAGCUCAAGAUGGGCGCGACGAAAACUGA